Molecule: long non-coding RNA, 557 nt
Filed under: Brassica napus (rape)
Lineage: Eukaryota; Viridiplantae; Streptophyta; Magnoliopsida; Brassicales; Brassicaceae
Description: long non-coding RNA (BNAP_LNC000613)
Source: RNAcentral
UUUUGCUGUGAAAAUCAAUGUUUGCGAUUUUAUUGCAUCACUGGCCAUUCUCUUUUCUUCUGCUUACCACAAAAAAAAACUGCCAUCAAUUUGAUCGUUUUUCUUUAUUUCUUUCUCAAGCAUUUUUAUUAUUCGUAAGUGCUAAUCAAAACAUUCUCGGCACAUAUCAAUGUAUCUUCUCUCUCUAUCUGCACAAAUUUGGAGGGGUUCUCUGUUUCUAACAGGAUAAUUAUCUUUGGUCUUCUACAUGUUUAUUAAUUUGGUUCUUUUUACCAUUGUUUCACUUUGAAUAUUUGUUGUCACCAUAUUUUGUCUCUCUUACCAAUCAUUGUAUUGUCCAGAGGUCGAUCUCUUCCUUCUCCAUCCUAAAUCUCUUCUACAUACCCAGAUUAUAAAUGUUUGUUAUUUAUUAGCUCUCUCUAGUGUUUUUAUAACAUACUGUUUUUGUUCGUCUAGGUUCCAGUAAAUAAUCGUAACAUAAAUGGGCAGGGCCGUGCCUGACAUUUGGCAAACUAGAAGCAAAAAAAAAAAUUGGCCCAGAACUGCACUACUCGGCA